GGAAUAUUGGACAAUGGGGGGAACCCUGAUCCAGCGACGCCGCGCGAGUGAAGAAGUAUUUCGGUAUGUAAAGCUCUAUCAGCAGGGGAGAAAGAAAUGACGGUACCUGACUAAGAAGCCCCGGCUAACUACGUGCCAGCAGCCGCGGUAAUACGUAGGGGGCAAGCGGUAUCCGGAUUUACUGGGUGUAAAGGGAGCCUAGACGGCAGCGCAAGUCUGGAGUGAAAUCCCAUGGCUUAACCAUGGAACUGCUUUGGAAACUGUGCAGCUGGAGUGCAGGAGAGGUAAGCGGAAUUCCUAGUGUAGCGGUGAAAUGCGUAGAUAUUAGGAGGAACACCAGUGGCGAAGGCGGCUUACUGGACUGUAACUGACGUUGAGGCUCGAAAGCGUGGGGAGCAAA
This 400-nucleotide ribosomal RNA is filed under the name uncultured bacterium. RNAcentral's name for it is "bacterial SSU rRNA". It matches the Rfam family "Bacterial small subunit ribosomal RNA", at positions 358 to 772 of the family's 1533-position model. The record is from RNAcentral.